Long non-coding RNA from Apis cerana (Asiatic honeybee), 606 nucleotides. RefSeq lists it as uncharacterized. NCBI's taxonomy places the organism in Eukaryota, Metazoa, Arthropoda, Insecta, Hymenoptera, Apidae. The record is from RefSeq and is a predicted model, not a curated record.
GAAGACUGCUUCUUUGCCCGCGUGCAGCGUUUCGCAGGCAAGCGAGUGAAUCCUUCUUUCCGCGCAUAGUGGAUCGCAGAGAAUUCCUAUUGCAGCUCCUUUUUUGUGCGUGCUGCACUGAAAUGAGAAUAAUGAUCAGUAUUUUUACGAGCAUUCUUUUGACAAAAGGGUUAUGUCAAAAACUCGAUAAAACGUCGAACUGGAAUAAGGAAUUUUUUUAAAUUAAUUUUAUGACUGAGGCGAAAUUUUUCGUAAAUCGAAUUUCGCCAGUAAGUUCUUUAAAAUAUUAUUUAUUACAUAUUUAUUUUUUGCAUUAUAUUCACUGAUAGUUCGUCAUCCCGUUUAGCAUAUAAAUAUAAUAAUUUAAUAUAAACAGGAUAGCAAGAACACGCAUAAACUGCUUUCUUUAAAGCAAUAUAAUUUUACUUUCUCUUGUUUCGAAACGUUUGUGCUUUAUAUAUGCUAUAUAUAUAAUAUUUUUUUCUUAUAUUAUAAAUAUAUUGAUAUUUUAAAAUAAAUAAUAAUAAAAUGUAAUAAUAAUCUAUUGCUUUAGAAAAUUCGUUUAUACAAAAGAAAAUCAUAAAUAUGUAUCGUUUCUUUGUGCAA